RNAcentral lists this ribosomal RNA (450 nucleotides) under uncultured bacterium. Its description in RNAcentral is "partial 16S ribosomal RNA". It matches the Rfam family "Bacterial small subunit ribosomal RNA", at positions 354 to 796 of the family's 1533-position model. The record is from RNAcentral.
GUGGGGAAUCUUCCGCAAUGGACGAAAGUCUGACGGAGCAACGCCGCGUGAGUGAUGAAGGUCUUCGGAUUGUAAAGCUCUGUUAAUCGGGACGAAAGAGCCUAGUGUGAAUAAUGCUAGGAAGUGACGGUACCGGAAUAGAAAGCCACGGCUAACUACGUGCCAGCAGUCGCGGUAAUACGUAGGUGGCAAGCGUUGUCCGGAAUUAUUGGGCGUAAAGCGCGCGUAGGCGGAUCUGCCAGUCUGUCUUAAAAGUUCGGGGCUUAACCCCGUGAUGGGAUGGAGACUACAGAUCUAGAGUAUCGGAGAGGAAAGUGGAAUUCCUAGUGUAGCGGUGAAAUGCGUAGAUAUUAGGAAGAACACCAGUGGCGAAGGCGACUUUCUGGACGAAAACUGACGCUGAGGCGCGAAAGCCGGGGGAGCGAACGGGAUUAGAAACCCUUGUAGUCC